GGGUUGUGAGGUUAAGCGACCAAGCGUACACGGUGGAUGCCCUGGCAGUCAGAGGCGAUGAAGGACGUGCUAAUCUGCGAUAAGCGCCGGUAAGGUGAUAUGAACCGUUAUAACCGGCGAUUUCCGAAUGGGGAAACCCAGUGUGAUUCGUCACACUAUCAUUAACUGAAUCCAUAGGUUAAUGAAGCGAACCGGGGGAACUGAAACAUCUAAGUACCCCGAGGAAAAGAAAUCAACCGAGAUUCCCCCAGUAGCGGCGAGCGAACGGGGAGGAGCCCAGAGCCUGAAUCAGCAUGUGUGUUAGUGGAAGCGUCUGGAAAGGCGCGCGAUACAGGGUGACAGCCCCGUACACAAAAGCGCAUAUGCUGUGAGCUCGAUGAGUAGGGCGGGACACGUGGUAUCCUGUCUGAAUAUGGGGGGACCAUCCUCCAAGGCUAAAUACUCCUGACUGACCGAUAGUGAACCAGUACCGUGAGGGAAAGGCGAAAAGAACCCCGGCGAGGGGAGUGAAACAGAACCUGAAACCGUGUACGUACAAGCAGUGGGAGCACAGGUUUACCUGUGUGACUGCGUACCUUUUGUAUAAUGGGUCAGCGACUUAUAUUCUGUAGCAAGGUUAACCGCAUAGGGGAGCCGAAGGGAAACCGAGUCUUAACCGGGCGUUAAGUUGCAGGGUAUAGACCCGAAACCCGGUGAUCUAGCCAUGGGCAGGUUGAAGGUUGGGUAACACUAACUGGAGGACCGAACCGACUAAUGUUGAAAAAUUAGCGGAUGACCUGUGGCUGGGGGUGAAAGGCCAAUCAAACCGGGAGAUAGCUGGUUCUCCCCGAAAGCUAUUUAGGUAGCGCCUCGUGAAUUCAUCUCCGGGGGUAGAGCACUGUUUCGGCUAGGGGGCCAUCCCGGCUUACCAACCCGAUGCAAACUGCGAAUACCGGAGAAUGUUAUCACGGGAGACACACGGCGGGUGCUAACGUCCGUCGUGAAGAGGGAAACAACCCAGACCGCCAGCUAAGGUCCCAAAGUCAUGGUUAAGUGGGAAACGAUGUGGGAAGGCCCAGACAGCCAGGAUGUUGGCUUAGAAGCAGCCAUCAUUUAAAGAAAGCGUAAUAGCUCACUGGUCGAGUCGGCCUGCGCGGAAGAUGUAACGGGGCUAAACCAUGCACCGAAGCUGCGGCAGCGACGCUUAUGCGUUGUUGGGUAGGGGAGCGUUCUGUAAGCCUGUGAAGGUGGCCUGUGAGGGUUGCUGGAGGUAUCAGAAGUGCGAAUGCUGACAUAAGUAACGAUAAAGCGGGUGAAAAGCCCGCUCGCCGGAAGACCAAGGGUUCCUGUCCAACGUUAAUCGGGGCAGGGUGAGUCGACCCCUAAGGCGAGGCCGAAAGGCGUAGUCGAUGGGAAACGGGUUAAUAUUCCCGUACUUGGUGUUACUGCGAAGGGGGGACGGAGAAGGCUAUGUUGGCCGGGCGACGGUUGUCCCGGUUUAAGCGUGUAGGCUGACUUUCCAGGCAAAUCCGGAGAGUCAAGGCUGAGGCGUGACGACGAGGCACCACGGUGCUGAAGCAACAAAUGCCCUGCUUCCAGGAAAAGCCUCUAAGCAUCAGGUAACAUCAAAUCGUACCCCAAACCGACACAGGUGGUCAGGUAGAGAAUACCAAGGCGCUUGAGAGAACUCGGGUGAAGGAACUAGGCAAAAUGGUGCCGUAACUUCGGGAGAAGGCACGCUGACACGUAGGUGAAGUGAUUUACUCAUGGAGCUGAAGUCAGUCGAAGAUACCAGCUGGCUGCAACUGUUUAUUAAAAACACAGCACUGUGCAAACACGAAAGUGGACGUAUACGGUGUGACGCCUGCCCGGUGCCGGAAGGUUAAUUGAUGGGGUCAGCGCAAGCGAAGCUCCUGAUCGAAGCCCCGGUAAACGGCGGCCGUAACUAUAACGGUCCUAAGGUAGCGAAAUUCCUUGUCGGGUAAGUUCCGACCUGCACGAAUGGCGUAAUGAUGGCCAGGCUGUCUCCACCCGAGACUCAGUGAAAUUGAACUCGCUGUGAAGAUGCAGUGUACCCGCGGCAAGACGGAAAGACCCCGUGAACCUUUACUAUAGCUUGACACUGAACAUUGAGCCUUGAUGUGUAGGAUAGGUGGGAGGCUUUGAAGCGUGGACGCCAGUCUGCGUGGAGCCAACCUUGAAAUACCACCCUUUAAUGUUUGAUGUUCUAACGUGGACCCGUAAUCCGGGUUGCGGACAGUGUCUGGUGGGUAGUUUGACUGGGGCGGUCUCCUCCUAAAGAGUAACGGAGGAGCACGAAGGUUGGCUAAUCCUGGUCGGACAUCAGGAGGUUAGUGCAAUGGCAUAAGCCAGCUUGACUGCGAGCGUGACGGCGCGAGCAGGUGCGAAAGCAGGUCAUAGUGAUCCGGUGGUUCUGAAUGGAAGGGCCAUCGCUCAACGGAUAAAAGGUACUCCGGGGAUAACAGGCUGAUACCGCCCAAGAGUUCAUAUCGACGGCGGUGUUUGGCACCUCGAUGUCGGCUCAUCACAUCCUGGGGCUGAAGUAGGUCCCAAGGGUAUGGCUGUUCGCCAUUUAAAGUGGUACGCGAGCUGGGUUUAGAACGUCGUGAGACAGUUCGGUCCCUAUCUGCCGUGGGCGCUGGAGAACUGAGGGGGGCUGCUCCUAGUACGAGAGGACCGGAGUGGACGCAUCACUGGUGUUCGGGUUGUCAUGCCAAUGGCACUGCCCGGUAGCUAAAUGCGGAAGAGAUAAGUGCUGAAAGCAUCUAAGCACGAAACUUGCCCCGAGAUGAGUUCUCCCUGAGACUUUGAGUCUCCUGAAGGAACGUUGAAGACGACGACGUUGAUAGGCCGGGUGUGUAAGCGCAGCGAUGCGUUGAGCUAACCGGUACUAAUGAACCGUGAGGCUUAACCUUACAACGCCGAAGCUGUU
This 2932-nucleotide ribosomal RNA is filed under the name Salmonella enterica. Its description in RNAcentral is "23S ribosomal RNA". It matches the Rfam family "Bacterial large subunit ribosomal RNA". The record is from RNAcentral. Lineage: Bacteria; Pseudomonadati; Pseudomonadota; Gammaproteobacteria; Enterobacterales; Enterobacteriaceae.